AACUUUACAAAUUAAUUCUACCAAUUGGUAAGCGACUAUUAUCAUUUUAUUUAUUUUAAUUUUUUUUAAUUUAUUCUUUUUAUAAUAUGCAGAUUAUGCAAGGAGGUGAAUCCAUAUCUAAGAAGCUAAGACCAUCAAGUUAUAGGCCAACAAAAUAUGUGACAUGUUAUAAUGGCUGUAAUGUAAAUGCUUUUAAAUUUUACAUCCAGUAAUAUGGAUAUCAUAAGAGUACAAGAACAGCGGUGUAUGUAUAAAAGACAGCUGGUGGGAAG
RNAcentral lists this long non-coding RNA (272 nucleotides) under Elaeis guineensis (African oil palm). Its description in RNAcentral is "long non-coding RNA (EGUI_LNC023634)". Lineage: Eukaryota; Viridiplantae; Streptophyta; Magnoliopsida; Arecales; Arecaceae. The record is from RNAcentral.